UACGUAGGGGGCGAGCGUUGUCCGGAUUUAUUGGGCGUAAAGAGCGUGUAGGCGGCUAGGUAGGUCUGCUGUGAAAACUCGAGGCUCAACCUCGAGACGUCGGCGGAAACCAUCUGGCUAGAGUCCGGAAGAGGAGAGUGGAAUUCCUGGUGUAGCGGUGAAAUGCGCAGAUAUCAGGAAGAACACCAGUGGCGAAGGCGGCUCACUGGCCCGGUACUGACGCUGAGGCGCGAAAGCGUGGGGAGCGAACAGG
RNAcentral lists this ribosomal RNA (253 nucleotides) under uncultured bacterium. RNAcentral describes it as "partial 16S ribosomal RNA". It matches the Rfam family "Bacterial small subunit ribosomal RNA", at positions 524 to 776 of the family's 1533-position model. The record is from RNAcentral.